GACGAACGCUGGCGGCGUGCCUAAUACAUGCAAGUUGAGCGCUGAAGGUUGGUACUUGUACUGAUUGGAUGAGCAGCGAACGGGUGAGUAACGCGUGGGUAAUCUGCCUUUGAGCGGGGGACAACAUUGGGAAACGAAUGCUAAUACCGCAUAAAAACUUUAAACACAAGUUUUAAGUUUGAAAGAUGCAAUUGCAUCACCUAAAGAUGAUCCCGCGUUGUAUUAGCUAGUUGGUGAGGUAAAGGCUCACCAAGGCAAUGAUACAUAGCCGAUCUGAGAGGGUGAUCGGCCACACUGGAACUGAGACACGGCCCAGACUCCUACGGGAGGCAGCAGUAGGGAAUCUUCGGCAAUGGGCGAAAGCCUGACGGAGAAACGCCGCGUGAGUGAAGAAGGUUUUCGGAUCGUAAAACUCUGUUGGUAGGGAAGAACAUAGGUGGAAGUAAAAGGGCAAAUAAUGACGGUAACUAACCAGAAAGGGACGGCUAAAUACGUG
This 496-nucleotide ribosomal RNA is filed under the name uncultured bacterium. RNAcentral's name for it is "partial 16S ribosomal RNA". It matches the Rfam family "Bacterial small subunit ribosomal RNA", at positions 28 to 507 of the family's 1533-position model. The record is from RNAcentral.